GCAUUUUUUUUGUUAUUAUACGUAUAAGUUUUUUUUUGGAAAUAUCUCUAAUACUUUUCUCCAAUAUCGUAUCUAAUAUAAAUGUCGUAUUCGAUGUACUGGUAACUAACGGGGCGUCGACAAAAGACGUAAUUAUAUUUUGUAAGUACUUGUAACUAAAAACGGACAGAGAACACUGCGGGGAUAUAAGGUGUCUGAUCUCAUGUUUAGAAACCAAAAACCGACGAAACACCGAUAACGCUUUAUUUAUUUACAACAAAUGCUCGUACAUAUUUUGAACAGAGACGGCAUACAGAUUGUGUGCAUUUUAAAAUUGUAUUUCUUCGUAGAGACGUGAAAGUGUACUUGAAUUUCGGACUUUUAGGUUUCCAAACAUAAGUUUAGACACCUUAUAUACACGUUGUAUCCGUCCGUAGUUACCAAUAUA
Molecule: non-coding RNA, 427 nt
Organism: Cinara cedri
Lineage: Eukaryota; Metazoa; Arthropoda; Insecta; Hemiptera; Aphididae
Source: the annotation of a GenBank genome assembly